ACAUUCCACCACGGGUGCUCGCGGCAGCGGGCUGAGAUGGGGCUGAAGCCGCUCUGACCGUUGAACCUGAACCGGGUAAUGCCGGCGCAGGAAGCGAGGAGCGAUUUCCGU
Molecule: non-coding RNA, 111 nt
Filed under: Nocardioides sp.
Lineage: Bacteria; Bacillati; Actinomycetota; Actinomycetes; Propionibacteriales; Nocardioidaceae
Also listed under: 1 other name
Description: TPP sequence
Rfam family: TPP riboswitch aptamer (THI element)
About the family: Vitamin B(1) in its active form thiamin pyrophosphate (TPP) is an essential coenzyme that is synthesised by coupling of pyrimidine and thiazole moieties in bacteria. The previously detected thiamin-regulatory element, thi box was extended, resulting in a new, highly conserved RNA secondary structure, the THI element, which is widely distributed in eubacteria and also occurs in some archaea. Analysis of operon structures identified a large number of new candidate thiamin-regulated genes, mostly transporters, in various prokaryotic organisms.
Source: RNAcentral